GGGUUGUGAGGUUAAGCGACUAAGCGUACACGGUGGAUGCCCUGGCAGUCAGAGGCGAUGAAGGACGUGCUAAUCUGCGAAAAGCGUCGGUAAGGUGAUAUGAACCGUUAUAGCCGGCGAUG
RNAcentral lists this ribosomal RNA (122 nucleotides) under Klebsiella pneumoniae. Its description in RNAcentral is "partial 23S ribosomal RNA". It matches the Rfam family "Bacterial large subunit ribosomal RNA", at positions 1 to 112 of the family's 2925-position model. Lineage: Bacteria; Pseudomonadati; Pseudomonadota; Gammaproteobacteria; Enterobacterales; Enterobacteriaceae. RNAcentral also lists the same sequence under 2 other names. The record is from RNAcentral.